Molecule: ribosomal RNA, 549 nt
Filed under: uncultured bacterium
Lineage: Bacteria
Description: partial 16S ribosomal RNA
Rfam family: Bacterial small subunit ribosomal RNA
Source: RNAcentral
UGGGGAAUUUUGGACAAUGGGCGAAAGCCUGAUCCAGCAAUGCCGCGUGUGUGAAGAAGGCCUUCGGGUUGUAAAGCACUUUUGUCCGGAAAGAAAUGGCUCUGGUUAAUACCUGGGGUCGAUGACGGUACCGGAAGAAUAAGGACCGGCUAACUACGUGCCAGCAGCCGCGGUAAUACGUAGGGUCCAAGCGUUAAUCGGAAUUACUGGGCGUAAAGCGUGCGCAGGCGGUUGUGCAAGACCGAUGUGAAAUCCCCGAGCUUAACUUGGGAAUUGCAUUGGUGACUGCACGGCUAGAGUGUGUCAGAGGGGGGUAGAAUUCCACGUGUAGCAGUGAAAUGCGUAGAGAUGUGGAGGAAUACCGAUGGCGAAGGCAGCCCCCUGGGAUAACACUGACGCUCAUGCACGAAAGCGUGGGGAGCAAACAGGAUUAGAUACCCUGGUAGUCCACGCCCUAAAACGAUGUCAACUAGUUGUUGGGGGAUUCAUUUCCUUAGUAACGUAGCUAACGCGUGAAGUUGACCGCCUGGGGAGUACGGUCGCAAGAUU